CGAGUCGACCGGGCGGCCGCGGCGGUGUGACCCACCGACGAGGAAAGUCCGGACUCCGCAGGGCAGGGUGGUUGUUAACGGCAACCCGAGGUGACUCGCGGGACAGUGCCACAGAGAACAGACCGCCGGUGGAUCGGGCCAUCCGAGUCCACCUGGUAAGGGUGAAACGGUGGUGUAAGAGACCACCAGCGCCCCGGGUGACCGGGGCGGCUAGGUAAACCCCACCCGGAGCAAGGCCAAGAGGGAGCCGCGAGGCUCCUGCGCAGACGUCCGAGGGCGGCCCGCCCGAGUCUGCGGGUAGGCCGCACGAACCUGCCGGCGACGGCAGGUCUAGAUGGAUGGUCGCCACCCAGGGCUCGCCCUGGGAACAGGAUCCGGCUUAUGGCGUCGGCUCGCCCG
RNAcentral lists this RNase P RNA (399 nucleotides) under Actinokineospora auranticolor. Its description in RNAcentral is "Bacterial RNase P class A". It matches the Rfam family "Bacterial RNase P class A". From Rfam's summary of the family: Ribonuclease P (RNase P) is a ubiquitous endoribonuclease, found in archaea, bacteria and eukarya as well as chloroplasts and mitochondria. Lineage: Bacteria; Bacillati; Actinomycetota; Actinomycetes; Pseudonocardiales; Pseudonocardiaceae. The record is from Rfam by way of RNAcentral.